This 301-nucleotide ribosomal RNA is filed under the name uncultured bacterium. RNAcentral describes it as "partial 16S ribosomal RNA". It matches the Rfam family "Bacterial small subunit ribosomal RNA", at positions 509 to 808 of the family's 1533-position model. The record is from RNAcentral.
CAGCCGCCGCGGGAAUACGUAGGUCCCGAGCGUUGUCCGGAUUUAUUGGGCGUAAAGCGAGCGCAGGCGGUUAGAUAAGUCUGAAGUUAAAGGCUGUGGCUUAACCAUAGUACGCUUUGGAAACUGUUUAACUUGAGUGCAAGAGGGGAGAGUGGAAUUCCAUGUGUAGCGGUGAAAUGCGUAGAUAUAUGGAGGAACACCGGUGGCGAAAGCGGCUCUCUGGUCUGUCACUGACGCUGAGGCGCGAAAGCGUGGGGAGCAAACAGGAUUAGAUACCCCUGUAGUCCCUGUCUCUUAUACA